UGGCGGUGGGCGGCGCUCAGGCCCGGUGGCGUCGCGGUGUUGACAGCGGCGGCCGCGCCGGGAGCUGCCCCGGGAAGCAGGUUGGAGGCACCGGGCUUUCGUUCUCCCUCCUCCCGGGAUGGCCUUCAUGGAGAAGCCGCCGGCCGGCAAGGUGCUGCUGGACGACACGGUGCCGCUGACAGCGCAGAUCGAAGCGAGCCAGAGCCUGCACUCCCACACGGAAUACAUAAUCCGUGUUCAGAGAGGAAUUUCGACAGAAAACAGUUGGCAGAUUGUGAGGCGAUACAGCGACUUUGACUUGCUUAAUAAUAGCUUGCAGAUCUCAACUCUAAGUCUACCUCUUCCUCCAAAAAAACUGAUUGGAAAUAUGGAGCGGGAAUUCAUAGCAGAAAGACAGAAAGGACUCCAGGCCUAUCUUGAUGUAAUUACUACCCAUCACAUACUGUCUAACUGUGAACUGGUAAAAAAAUUCUUGGACCCAAACAGCUAUUCUGUAAACUACACUGAGAUUGCCUUACAGCAUGUUUCAAUGUUCUUCCGAUCAGAGCCAAAGUGGGAAGUGGCAGAGCCAUUAAAAGAUAUAGGCUGGCGAAUACGUAAGAAAUAUUUCCUAAUGAAGAUUAAGAAUCAACCAAAGGAACGACUAAUGUUAAGCUGGGCUGAUCUUGGCCCUGAUAAAUACUUGUCUGACAAAGACUUACAGUAUGCUGUGAAACUUCUUUCUUCCUGUUCUCAUCCCUAUAUUUACAAAAUCACUUUUGCCACUGCCAAUGAAUCUUCAGCACUGGUUAUUAGACCAUUCAGUGAAAAAGGGACACUAAAAGACAUUAUUUAUAAGGCAAAACCAAAAGACCCUUUCCUGAAGAAGUAUUGCAAUCCUAAAAAAAAUCAAGGUCUUGAUCUUCAGCAAAUAAAAACAUAUGGAAGGCAAAUAUUAGAGGUAUUAAAAUUCUUGCAUGAGAAAGGAUUUCCUUAUGGCCAUCUUCACUCUGCCAAUGUGAUGCUGGAUGGGGACACCUGCAAGUUACUGGAUCUAGAAAAUUCCUUAUUGGGACUUCCAUCAUUUUAUAGAUCAUACUUUUCACAGUUUCGGAAAAUUAAUACUUUAGAAGGUGUUGAUGUACAUUGCUUUGGACACUUGCUGUAUGAAAUGACAUAUGGAAGACCCCCAGAUACAAUCCCAGUUGACAGCUUCCCUCCUGCACCAUCAGUGUCUGUUGUGUCAGUGUUGGAAUCCAUUCUGACCUGUGAAGCUAUGAAGAAUGGAAUGCCAACUGUUUCACGGCUCUUACAGAUGCCAUUAUUCUGUGACGUCCUGCUGACAAACUCAGAGAAACCACAGUUUAAGAUUCCUACAAAGCUAAAAGAGGCAUUGAAAACUUCCAAGGAAUGCAUAGAAAAACGACUAACAGAAGAACAGAAAUUGAUUCACCAGCACAGAAGGCUGACAAGAGCUCAAUCUCAUCAUGGCUCUGAAGAAGAAAAAAAGAAAAGGAAGAUCUUAGCACGAAAAAAGUCGAAACGCUCUGCCUAUGAAAGUGGGGAAGAACACUCAGCAAAAUACAGCAACUCAAAUAACUCAGGCUCUGGGGCGAGUUCCCCAUUAACAUCUCCAUCAUCUCCCACUCCACCGUCUACAGCAGAGCAUGCAUCAUUUUGAACGUGAAUUUUCGGAAAAGCAUCAAGUUUACAGCAUCUGAUUUACUUCCUAUUCCUUUUAACACACUCUCUUAACAAAAAUGUCCCUGUAAAAAACGUUGGAGCAUCGUCGAUACCCCCAGCACCGCCACCUCCCCCCCUGCCACCAGCAGCUCCUCCUCCUCCUCCAAGUACAGAGGUGCCAACACAGCCAAGCCCACAGCCCGGGGUCAGUGCAAGCCGAGGAGCCUUACUCAGCUCCAUUCAAAACUUUCAGAAAGGAACUCUGAAGAAAACACAGACCUGCGACUACAGUGCUCCCAGGAUCAGCUGAGGCCUCUUGUCACACCAGGAUUGAAUUCCCUUUUCCUCUCCUGUGCUGCCUAGGAACAAGACCCUCCUGUCCGGCCACUGAUCCACCACCUAAUCAUGCUGUAGCUUCUUUUACCCCUAUUUCAGCUUUUCUGGAGGAGCAGCACCACCCUGUCUGAGUUGUGUUGCCAUGCUGUGAUAAGUUCUCCAUUCUUUACUUGGGUUCAACAACUCUGUUCUCUAGCUACAGCUUCAGGGGUAUAGCAAUUUCUAUAUAGCUGAAUAAACAUCUGAAAAUAGGAAUGACCAUGACCAUGGUGAAGUAAUGCAUUUUCUUCUAGCUCUGUUCCACCCUUUUUUCAAAUUGUAGGAAUGUAGUUUUAGUUUGCUCAGUUUUUCCAAGACUUUUCAUGCAGUUCUAACUCAUCUUAAUUCUUGCUGCACCGAAUCAGCAAGUUUUGUUUCAGAUAAUCCAACACCCUUCCUCUCCCAACCCUUAAAGGAAACUGCACAGGUGAGGAAACUGGAGAAUUAAAUCUUAUUGCCACCCUGUUUGCUGGUGGAAUAAAAAUGCUGUUUGAUUAAACUUGUUUAAAUGGACAUACUACCUGUAACUCUAAGGGAAAGUGUUUUUAAAUGAGGAAACAGUUGAAAUGAGAGUUAAUAGGGCAAUGGGAUAUUAUUCAUGAUAUAGUUAAAUGCAAAGUUAUAUCAAGUUAAUUCUACAGCUUAAACUUUAUUGAAAGAUCCUUUUUGAUUUAAAACCUUAAACAAAUUGCACUUUAAAGGAUUAUAGAUAAUCCAUUUUUUAAAUUCAAGUACAUCAGUGUUUGUUACUAUGCAGAGAAUGUCUGUACAAAGUUUCAUGUAACCUGUGAUAUUCAGUCCUUUUUAUUAAAAUGUUACUGGAAUUCCUUCA
Calypte anna (Anna's hummingbird) is the source of this 2869-nucleotide RNA transcript. It is a transcript of the gene named PX domain containing serine/threonine kinase like, with no coding region annotated. The record is from RefSeq and is a predicted model, not a curated record. The transcript has 20 exons. NCBI's taxonomy places the organism in Eukaryota, Metazoa, Chordata, Aves, Apodiformes, Trochilidae.